This 520-nucleotide ribosomal RNA is filed under the name uncultured Archaeospora. RNAcentral describes it as "SSU rRNA". It matches the Rfam family "Eukaryotic small subunit ribosomal RNA", at positions 569 to 1092 of the family's 1831-position model. The record is from RNAcentral. Lineage: Eukaryota; Fungi; Glomeromycota; Glomeromycetes; Archaeosporales; Archaeosporaceae.
AGCAGCCGCGGUAAUUCCAGCUCCAAUAGCGUAUAUUAAAGUUGUUGCAGUUAAAAGCUCGUAGUUGAAUUUUGGAUUCUUCCAAUUGGUCCAUCUUUUAGAUGAGUACUGGUUGUGUGGGGUCUAUCCGCCUGGUGAUACGUAAUGUCCUUUAUUGGAUGUUUCGGGUAGUCAGGACCUUUACCUUGAAAAAAUUAGAGUGUUUAAAGCAGGCUUAUGCCGGAAUACAUUAGCAUGGAAUAAUAGAAUAGGACGAAGUUGUUUUAUUUUGUUGGUUUCUAGGACAACCGUAAUGAUUAAUAGGGAUAGUUGGGGGCAUUAGUAUUCAAUUGUCAGAGGUGAAAUUCUUGGAUUUAUUGAAGACUAACUACUGCGAAAGCAUUUGCCAAGGAUGUUUUCAUUAAUCAAGAACGAAAGUUAGGGGAUCGAAGACGAUCAGAUACCGUCGUAGUCUUAACCAUAAACUAUGCCGACUAGGGAUCGGGCGAUGUUGUUUCCAUGACUCGCUCGGCACCUUAUG